Molecule: small RNA, 145 nt
Filed under: human gut metagenome
Description: Clostridiales-1 RNA
Rfam family: Clostridiales-1 RNA
Source: RNAcentral
GAUACCAGGGUCAGAUGGUUACGUGUUUUAUGCUUGCAUGAAAAAGCAUGACUUUGGGACCCGUAAAACAUAAGAAAGUAGCCCGAAUAGGGCGGAUUUGGAAUGUUUUUAGGAUUGCGGGAGCAUGAAAUGCGGAGCAAUCCGU